RNAcentral lists this transfer RNA (73 nucleotides) under Virus Rctr197k. Its description in RNAcentral is "tRNA-Asn". It matches the Rfam family "tRNA". Rfam says of the family: Transfer RNA (tRNA) molecules are approximately 80 nucleotides in length. Their secondary structure includes four short double-helical elements and three loops (D, anti-codon, and T loops). The record is from RNAcentral. Lineage: Duplodnaviria; Heunggongvirae; Uroviricota; Caudoviricetes.
UCCGAGGUAGCUCAGUUGGUAGAGCAGGCGGCUGUUAACCGCCAGGUCGGAGGUUCGAGCCCUCUCCUCGGAG